CUGGAAGUACUACAGGCAUAGAGGGAAGAGUACCUGUGUCUGUAACAACGUAAAAGGUCACAAGCUUCUGCUUUGCCAGUCUAGGUUCUGGAGGCCAGGAAGUCCAACAUGAAGGUGACAGCAGAUCCAGUGUCUGGAAAAACAAAUGCAAACAAAUCAAGAUUUCAGUUACCUCUGAAAAGGCGGCAGAAAAAUGAGAAGAUUCUGUGAGGUAAAGGAGAGAAACAUA
RNAcentral lists this long non-coding RNA (229 nucleotides) under Homo sapiens (human). RNAcentral describes it as "HSALNT0339982". The record is from RNAcentral. Lineage: Eukaryota; Metazoa; Chordata; Mammalia; Primates; Hominidae.